UGAAUUCUGGAAUGUAGCUGAGAUAGUU
This 28-nucleotide non-coding RNA is filed under the name Cricetulus griseus (Chinese hamster). The record is from RNAcentral. Lineage: Eukaryota; Metazoa; Chordata; Mammalia; Rodentia; Cricetidae.